RNAcentral lists this long non-coding RNA (1490 nucleotides) under Olea europaea subsp. europaea. The record is from RNAcentral. Lineage: Eukaryota; Viridiplantae; Streptophyta; Magnoliopsida; Lamiales; Oleaceae.
UUUUAAUCUCACAUAAAUUUUCUCUCCUGAUUCCUGCAAUCUUUUCCCGCAUCAAAUUCCCACCGAGUCCCGUGCCCCGCCAUAAAUUGUGGUAGUUAGAGGUAGGUUGGGACGGGAAAGUUGGUGGAAUAUGAGUUUUAAAAAAAUUAAAACUAAGUGUAUAAAUGUGUUUUUUAUUAAACUCUAAACUUUUACAACGUAUACCAAAACCAUCAACUCGAGACAUACUACAAAGUAAAACGUUGGAGACAGAUCCGCAAAAAAGAUUGAGAACCAGUUUGCAAAAAUUUAAUAAGUUAUGGACUCAAUGCAAUUUCCUUUAAUUUUUUCUUUACAAAACCCUUGUUCCUGUCGUCUUUGUUUACCUAUGAACUAAGCAAAAUUAUUCAUCAUCAUAAGUACUAUCCAUUCUUUCCCCACCUCUCACCACUUCUCUUUAUUCUCCUUCUGAUACACCAUUUUUAAGUUAUAUGUACGCAAAUACAUACACUCUGGCUUCCAAGAAAUUGUAUACCAUGCUGCUAGCUAGGGAUUCAGAUGUAUGCACCAUGGAUGGUAUCAAGAACGAUGAUUUCGACGCGGUUAAGGAAGGCAUAGUCGAGGAGAAGAUCGACAAAUAUUUAAAGCCAAGGGGUUGAAGGAAAGAAAUGAAACUUCUAGGCAAGUCUGAUACUUGGCUUUACUUCCACAGUCUGUUUGUCUCUCUUUUUCUUGGUUUGGUUUGGCCAAAUGGAAAGAAAAAAAUUGAGUUUUAAGGAUUCUUAAUAAUUAGAGAUUUUGUCUUAAUUAAGAUUAAUCCUAAGGUUUACAUUUUCUUACUGUCUUUUGAUCAGCAACUUAACCAAAUUUCUUUCGGCCAUUUGCUUUUCAUUUAUUUAUUUUUGUACUUUUCUCCUAUUUUUUUGGUGUGUUUAUGCAUUUCCACAAUGAAGAGGAAGGGAUAUCCUUGUAAAACUCGAAUAUUGAUUCAAAUAUUUCACCGCAAAAUCUUUAAUUAUUUGCUUCUCAAAUUGUUAAAUUAACCAAGAUUCUUUUUUUUUUUCCCUCAAUAUUUACUUCUUACAUUCUAGAAAAACACUUCACAUUUUUCUUAACCGGAAUAUGGAAACACGCCAACAACGACAGACUUUUCCUGCGCCGGUCGGUUUAACAGGAAUGAAAGUGUUGAUGUUACUAGAUAUUCAUAAAUGAGACUUGUAAUGUUUAAUGUUUAGCUGUAAAGUAAGCGAUUUUAUCAAAAGUUUAAGUGUGUAACUACAAAAGAAACAAAAAAGAAAACUUAGAAUGGUUUUGCCCAUGAUUAUCACAUGCAUGGGUAGAAAAAAUCACCCCUUUUUUUUUUGCCCUUUUUUCUUCAUCAAUUUGAUAAAGGGGUGAAUUCAGAUUGGGAAAAAAAAAAAAAAAAAAAAAAGCUCAUAAUUAGUUAGAAAAAAGCUUUGAAAAAAUAUGCAAUUUUCAGUUAUUUGGAACCCUGCCCGAUUUAAUCAUUU